CACGUAGGGUGCGAGCGUUGUCCGGAAUUAUUGGGCGUAAAGAGCUCGUAGGCGGUGUGUCGCGUCGGCCGUGAAAACCUGGGGCUUAAUUCUGGGCGUGCGGUCGAUACGGGCAUCACUGGAGUUCGGCAGGGGAGACUGGAAUUCCUGGUGUAGCGGUGAAAUGCGCAGAUAUCAGGAGGAACACCGGUGGCGAAGGCGGGUCUCUGGGCCGAUACUGACGCUGAGGAGCGAAAGCGUGGGGAGCGAACAGG
This 254-nucleotide ribosomal RNA is filed under the name uncultured bacterium. Its description in RNAcentral is "partial 16S ribosomal RNA". It matches the Rfam family "Bacterial small subunit ribosomal RNA", at positions 524 to 776 of the family's 1533-position model. The record is from RNAcentral.